GAUGAACGCUGGCGGCGUGCUUAACACAUGCAAGUCGAACGAAGCACUUUAUUUGAUUUCCUUCGGGACUGAUUAUUUUGUGACUGAGUGGCGGACGGGUGAGUAACGCGUGGGUAACCUGCCUUGUACAGGGGGAUAACAGUUGGAAACGGCUGCUAAUACCGCAUAAGCGCACAGCAUCGCAUGAUGCAGUGUGAAAAACUCCGGUGGUAUAGGAUGAACCCGCGUUGGAUUAGCCAGUUGGGGAGGUAACGGCCCACCAAGGCGACGAUCCAUAGCCGACCUGAGAGUGUGACCGCCCACAUUGGGACUGAGACACGGCCCAAACUCCUACGGGAGGCAGCAGUGGGGAAUAUAGCACAACGGGCGAAAGCCUGAUGCAGCGACGCCGCGUGAGCGAAGAAGUAUUUCGGUAUGUAAAGCUCUAUCAGCAGGGAAGAUAAUGACGGUACCUGACGAAGAAGCACCGGCUAAAUACGUG
Molecule: ribosomal RNA, 481 nt
Filed under: uncultured bacterium
Lineage: Bacteria
Description: partial 16S ribosomal RNA
Rfam family: Bacterial small subunit ribosomal RNA
Source: RNAcentral